Molecule: ribosomal RNA, 492 nt
Filed under: uncultured bacterium
Lineage: Bacteria
Description: partial 16S ribosomal RNA
Rfam family: Bacterial small subunit ribosomal RNA
Source: RNAcentral
AGUGAACGCUGGCGGUAGGCCUAACACAUGCCAGUCGAACGGCAGCACAAUAAGAGCUUGCUCUUACGGGUGGCGAGUGGCGGACGGGUGAGGAAUACAUCGGAAUCUACUUUUUCGUGGGGGAUAACGUAGGGAAACUUACGCUAAUACCGCAUACGACCUACGGGUGAAAGCAGGGGAUCUUCGGACCUUGCGCGAUUGAAUGAGCCGAUGUCGGAUUAGCUAGUUGGCGGGGUAAAGGCCCACCAAGGCGACGAUCCGUAGCUGGUCUGAGAGGAUGAUCAGCCACACUGGAACUGAGACACGGUCCAGACUCCUACGGGAGGCAGCAGUGGGGAAUAUUGGACAAUGGGCGCAAGCCUGAUCCAGCCCUACCGCGUGGGUGAAGAAGGCCUUCGGGUUGUAAAGCCCUUUUGUUGGGAAAGAAAAGCAGCAGGUUAAUACCCCGCUGUUCUGACGGUACCCAAAGAAUAAGCACCGGCUAACUUCGUG